RNAcentral lists this long non-coding RNA (953 nucleotides) under Homo sapiens (human). Its description in RNAcentral is "HSALNT0258193". Lineage: Eukaryota; Metazoa; Chordata; Mammalia; Primates; Hominidae. The record is from RNAcentral.
GCACUUGAAAAGUAUGUACUAUUAUCACUUUAUUGUAGCGUUUAUAGUACUUGGUUUCAUUUGUGUCUAACAGCUUUAUUGAGGUAUAAUUUACAUUCUGUAACAUCCACUUUACAGUAUGCACUUUGGGGUUUUUUAGUAGAUUUUGAGUUGUGCCAUGUUGACCACAACUCAGUUGUAGAACAUUUCCAUUGUUUUAAAAACAUCCCUUUUGCCUAUUUACAGUAAAUUCCUGUUCCUAUCCCCAACCCCGGGACACCUUAACUAAUAUGCUUUCUCUAUAGAGUUCUCUUUUCUGGACAAUUAAUAGAAUCAUACAGUAUGUAGUGUUUUGCAUUUACCUUUCGAUAUAAGGUUUUUGAGGUUCAUCCAUUUUUUAAAAAUCAUGCAUCAGUAACUUGUUUUUUCUUAUUGCUGCAUGGUAUUACAUUGUAUGGAUAUACCACAUUUUGCUUAUUCAUUCACAAGUUGAUAGACCCUGAAUUGUUCAGGCUAUAAUCAAUAAUGUUGCUAUGAACAUUCAUAUAUCAGCCCUUGUGUGAAUAUGUGUUUUUAUUUAUUUAGGGUAAAUACCUAGGAGUGGAAUUGUUGGGUUGGAUGGUGAAUUCAGGUUUAACUUUUUAAGAAAUUGCACAGUUUUUCAAAGAGGCUGUAUAAUUUUAUAUUCCCAUCAGCAAUGUUUGAGAUUUCCAGUUUCUCCACAUCUUUGGCAGCACUGUUACUAUUUUGUCUUUUUUAUUAUAGCCUUUAUAGUGGCUGUGGAAUAUAAUAAUUGUAUUAAUUUACAUUUCUGUAGCGACUAAUGAUGUUGAAGGUCUUUUCAUGUGCUUUUAGUUCUAUUUACAUCUUCUUGGAAGUAUCUAUUCAAAUCUUUGGCUCAGUCUUUAAUUGGUUGUCUUACUGAGUUAUAAGAAGUUCUUUUUAAAAAUUUAUUUAUUUUAAUUAGAGACAGG